GACGAACGCCGGCGGCGUGCUUAACACAUGCAAGUCGAACGGAAAGGCCUGCUUUCCCUUGUGGAUUGCGGGUACUCGAGUGGCGAACGGGUGAGUAACACGUGAGUGAUCUGCCCCCAACUUGGGUAUAAGCCUGGGAAACUGGGUCUAAUUCCCGAUAGGACUGCAGGGUGGUGCCUGUGGUGGAAAACGAUUUUCUAGUGGUUGGGGAUGAGCUCGCGGCCUAUCUGCUUGUUGGUGGGGUAAUGGCCUACCAAGGCGGCGACGGGUAGCCGGCCUGGGAUGGUGGACGGGCCGAUUGGGGAUGGGAUACGGGCCAGACUCCUACGGGAGGCAGCAGUGGGGAAUAUUGCACAAUGGGCGGAAGCCUGAUGCAGCGACGCCGCGUGGGGGAUGACGGCCUUCGGGUUGUAAACUCCUUUCGACCGCGAGGAAGCCACCUGGUUGGAAGGGUGGUGACGGUAGUGGUAGAAGAAGCACCGGCUAACUACGUG
This 494-nucleotide ribosomal RNA is filed under the name uncultured bacterium. RNAcentral's name for it is "partial 16S ribosomal RNA". It matches the Rfam family "Bacterial small subunit ribosomal RNA", at positions 28 to 507 of the family's 1533-position model. The record is from RNAcentral.